This is a long non-coding RNA of Manacus vitellinus (golden-collared manakin), 120 nucleotides long. RefSeq lists it as uncharacterized. NCBI's taxonomy places the organism in Eukaryota, Metazoa, Chordata, Aves, Passeriformes, Pipridae. The record is from RefSeq and is a predicted model, not a curated record. The transcript has 3 exons.
UUUCUACUUUUCCUAAAGAAAGCUGAUCCGGAUAAAAUUAAAAUGCUCAUGAAGUGGGGAUGCUGUGCAGUUUGGACCUGAGGGGUGCUGAGGACACUGGGGGCCAUGCCUGCUCACAGC